This is a long non-coding RNA of Nothoprocta perdicaria, 593 nucleotides long. RefSeq lists it as uncharacterized. The transcript is spliced from 2 exons. The record is from RefSeq and is a predicted model, not a curated record. Lineage: Eukaryota; Metazoa; Chordata; Aves; Tinamiformes; Tinamidae.
AUCAAUAUGGCUUCUUGUAGGCUACUUUAGGAAGACUAAAAGGUCACUGAAUUUUCCAGGAUCAUUACAGAAAAAUCUAAGGCCUAGCAAAAAAACAACAGAGGAUUUUGGAUGCUGAGGUAUAAACUGAAGUCUAGGUUGUUGUGCCUGUCCCUUGUUUGGACAUUAGGAAGCAUAACAAGUCUACUGGGUCCUGUUCCUUUAAUUUAAAAUUAAAUGAACACUGCAAAGAGGUUUUAGCUUUGGAGAGCCUCAAACAGGUUCAUGCGAGCAGUAUGAGUCUAUUCGUGUAAGUGUACUGACCCCUAGUGACUGUAUCACUACUUAAAUAAUUUACAAAGAAAAGUUUAUUUAAUUUUAAAUAAAACCUCCCUAUACAGGAGAAUUUCUAUCAAGAAAUAUCUUCACUGGAAAGAAACUGUAAAAUAUCCCUCUUACUUGAGAUGCACAUUGACAUAUUAAUUGUAUAGCUUAUUUAAAAAUUGAGUGUGGCAUAGAUCUUGGGAGUUACUGGUUUUAAUUUAGCCAAGUAAGGUUGCUCAUGAAUGCAGCAUUUCAGGUUGGGAGCUUGGCAGGCUUAAUAAAAUAGAGGU